GAUGAACGCUGGCGGCGUGCUUAACACAUGCAAGUCGAACGGUAAGGCCCUUCGGGGUACACGAGUGGCGAACGGGUGAGUAACACGUGGGUGAUCUGCCCUGCACUUCGGGAUAAGCCUGGGAAACUGGGUCUAAUACCGGAUAGGACCACUGCCUGCAUGGGGGGUGGUGGAAAGCUUUUGCGGGGUGGGAUGGGCCCGCGGCCUAUCGGCUUGUUGGUGGGGUGAUGGCCUACCAAGGCGACGCCGGGUAGCCGGCCUGAGAGGGUGACCGGCGACACUGGGACUGAGAUACGGCCCAGACCCCUACGGGAGGCAACAGUGGGGAAUAUUGCACAAUGGGCGCAAGCCUGAUGCAGCGACGCCGCGUGAGGGAUGACGGCCUUCGGGUUGUAAACCUCUUUCAGCACCGACGAAGCGCAAGUGACGGUAGGUGCAGAAGAAGGACCGGCCAACUACGUGCCAGCCGCCGCCGUAA
This 478-nucleotide ribosomal RNA is filed under the name uncultured bacterium. RNAcentral's name for it is "partial 16S ribosomal RNA". It matches the Rfam family "Bacterial small subunit ribosomal RNA", at positions 28 to 523 of the family's 1533-position model. The record is from RNAcentral.